RNAcentral lists this ribosomal RNA (1996 nucleotides) under marine metagenome. Its description in RNAcentral is "bacterial LSU rRNA". It matches the Rfam family "Bacterial large subunit ribosomal RNA", at positions 523 to 2495 of the family's 2925-position model. The record is from RNAcentral.
ACCCCUGUUAGGGGAGUGAAAUAGAACCUGAAACCAGCAGCUUACAAGCGGUUAGAGGCCUAUGCUCCUUUUAGGAGAAUGGCUGAUAGCGUGCCUUUUGCAUGAUGAGCCAGCGAGUUACGUUACAUGGCAAGGUUAAGGGACUUUCGUUCCGGAGCCGAAGCGAAAGCAAGUCUGAAUAGGGCGUCUAGUCAUGUGGCGUAGACACGAAACCAAGUGAUCUAUCCAUGGUCAGGUUGAAGCAAAGGUAACACUUUGUGGAGGACCGAACCAGUAGAUGUUGAAAAAUCUUUGGAUGAACUGUGGAUAGGGGUGAAAGGCCAAUCAAACUUGGAAAUAUCUUGUUCUCUCCGAAAUAACUUUUGGGUUAGCCUCAAGUAUUAAUGAUAUGGGGGUAGAGCACUGGAUUCACGCGGGGGUCUACCGACCUACCAAAGGGAACCAAACUCCGAAUACCAUAUCAAAGCUUGGGAGAUAGACAGUGGGGGAUAAGCUUCAUUGUCGAGAGGGGAACAGCCCAGACCGUCAACUAAGGUCCCUAAUUCUACGCUAAGUGAGAAAGGAAGUAAAGUUUCUUAGACAGUUGGAAUGUUGGCUUAGAGGCAGCCAUCAUUUAAAGAGUGCGUAACAGCUCACCAAUCGAGAGACUUUGCGCCGAUAAUAUGCGGGACUAAGUGUAGAACCGAAGUUACGGGUUCAGUGUAUACUGAGCGGUAGGAGAGCGUAGUUUAUGCGCCGAAGGCAUACCGGAAGGAGUGCUGGAGCGUAAACUAGUGAUGAUGCAUGGCAUAAGUAACGAUUAAGGGGGUGAGAAUCCCCCUCGCCGAAUGCCGAAGGUUUCCAGGGUAAAGGUCGUCUUCCCUGGGUUAGUCGGCCCCUAAGUCGAGGUAGAAAUACGUAGACGAUGGGAAGCAGGUUAAAUAUUCCUGCACCACCUAAAACGAUAGCAAUGGAAUGACGGAGUACGUUAAGCAUGGGGACCAUUGGAAGUGUCCCUAAGACUAUGAGAAAGGCUGGCAGGCAAAUCCACCGGCGUAAUUUCAGGUAGUCUUCAAGUGGAGCCCUCGGGUGAAGCGAUGGUGUAGCGCAAUGCUUCCAAGAAAUAGUUUCUAGCUGUUGAUGGUGACCGUACCAAAACCGACACAGGUUGGCAGGAUGAGUAUUCUCAGGCGCGCGAGUGAACUCUCGUUAAGGAACUCGGCAAAUUAUCCUCGUAACUUCGGGAGAAGAGGAGCCACAGAUGGUGAUUACCCUUGCGGUAUGAGCUGUAGGUGGCCGCAGAGAAAUGGCCCAGGCGACUGUUUACCAAAAACACAGCACUAUGCAAAGCCUAAACGGCGAAGUAUAUGGUGUGAUGCCUGCCCAAUGCCAAAAGGUCAAAGGGAGGGGUUAGCUUUUGCGAAGCUCCGAACUCAAGCCCUGGUGAAUGGCGGCCGUAACUAUAACGGUCCUAAGGUAGCGAAAUUCCUUGUCGGGUAAGUUCCGACCUGCACGAAUGGCAUAACGAUCUGGGCGCUGUCUCAACGAGAGACUCGGUGAAAUUGUAGUAGCGGUGAAGAUGCCGUUUACCCGCGACGGGACGGAAAGACCCCGUGAACCUUUACUGUACUCUGAUAUUGGCUCCUGACUUAACAUGUGUAGGAUAACCGGGAGGCUUUGAAAGGGCGUCGUCAGGCGUCCUGGAGCCAUCCUUGAAAUACCGGUCUUGUUAAGUUGGGAAUCUAACGAAGUCCCGUGAAUCCGGGAUUCGGACCCUGUCAGACGGGCAGUUUUACUGGGGCGGUAUCCUCCUAAAAGGUAACGGAGGAGUCCAAAGUUUGUCUCAUCAUGGUUGGUAAUCAUGAGUAGAGCGUAAAGGUAUAAGACAAAUUGACUGCGAGACCUGCAAGUCGAGCAGAUACGAAAGUAGGGCUUAGUGAUCCGGCGGUAGAAAGUGGAAUCGCCGUCGCUUAACGGAUAAAAGGUACUCCGGGGAUAACAGGCUUAUCGCCACCAA